UGAGGAUUAUACUGUCUCUUGUAGCUAACCAAUGAAACUGAUCUUGUAGUUCAAAAGCUACAAUAUAACCACCAGACGAGAAGACCCUGUGGAGCUUUAAACCAAAACCAAAUUAAUGGCCCCCUGGUUUUUAGUUGGGGCAACUUCGGAGUACACAACAACCUCCGAUAAAAAAAAGUUAAGACAGACAGGUCUAAACAACUUGCUCGACCCAAUACUCUACUUUAGAUUAUUUGACCAAUGAACCAAGUUACCCCAGGGAUAACAGCGCUAUCCCCUUUUAGAGUCCCUAUCGACAAGGGGGCUUACGACCUCGAUGUUGGAUCAGGACACCCCAAUAAUGCAGCCGUUAUUAAAGGUUCGUUUGUUCAACGAUUAAAGUCCUACGUGAUCUGAGUUCAGACCGGAC
Molecule: ribosomal RNA, 409 nt
Filed under: Mesalina guttulata
Lineage: Eukaryota; Metazoa; Chordata; Lepidosauria; Squamata; Lacertidae
Description: partial 16S ribosomal RNA
Rfam family: Bacterial large subunit ribosomal RNA
Source: RNAcentral